UACGGAGGGGGUUAGCGUUGUUCGGAAUGACUGGGCGUAAAGCGCGCGUAGGCGGAUCAGGGGGUUGGGGGUGAAAUCCCGGGGCUCAACCCCGGAAUGGCCUUCAAAACUCCUGGUCUUGAGUUCGAGAGAGGUGAGUGGAAUUCCGAGUGUAGAGGUGAAAUUCGUAGAUAUUCGGAGGAACACCAGUGGCGAAGGCGGCUCACUGGCUCGACACUGACGCUGAGGUGCGAAAGCGUGGGGAGCAAACAGG
Molecule: ribosomal RNA, 253 nt
Filed under: uncultured bacterium
Lineage: Bacteria
Description: partial 16S ribosomal RNA
Rfam family: Bacterial small subunit ribosomal RNA
Source: RNAcentral